RNAcentral lists this long non-coding RNA (4473 nucleotides) under Brassica napus (rape). RNAcentral describes it as "long non-coding RNA (BNAP_LNC010926)". Lineage: Eukaryota; Viridiplantae; Streptophyta; Magnoliopsida; Brassicales; Brassicaceae. The record is from RNAcentral.
GGCUAACAAAACCUAAUUGCAUUAGGUUACGUGCUUCACAUAUGUAUAUAUACGAAAGUAUGUUAUGAUAUGUGGGUGGUUUUUUUUUACUUCUGGCCGAAACCUAUUCAUAAAGGCGAAGUGUUCGUCAAGUUUUGAGAUUUGAUCUCAACGGUACUAGCAUCCCGUCUUGAUCCAGUUUGUGUGCGUGUGGAUACCAGUAGAGACACGAUGUUUGGAGUGCUAGAAAUCUCGAUUUGGUUUAUUCAUCAUUCCGCUGCGAAUAACCAGGUAUAUUUGAAACCUUAAAAUCUAGAUUUAUUUAGUAUUGACAUGAGAUUCUAGGUAUAUAAAUUCAUAGGUUGAUUUAUAAAUAGUUAUAAUUCCAACACAAACUUCUGCUUUGGUGGAGAGAUUGAGGUUGCUAUGGUUAAGCAGUCUCACCGGUUUGCGGUAGAACGCUGUUCCAGUGACGUUUAAGUUUCUAUCAGUGAGUCUCAGUAGUCCAUCUGGUGUGAUGAUCGCUGCUCCUUCUGUUUGAAUCUCCGAUUUGUUUUUACUAAAACCUUCGAAAGUGAAAUCUGUUGUUGGUGGUGUCUUCGUACUCUGAGCUUGAAGAGAGAAGCUCAAAAGCUGGAUGAGUAAGAACAAAAAUGAGACCAUAAAUCUAGACAUAGGAAAUCAAGAACAGAGAGAACGGGUUAGAAGGAAGAAGAUAAUUGGAUAUUACAGGGGACUAGGGGAGUUUGGUUUAUCCUUGGUGAUUCGAUGAUCAAGCAAGUCAUAAGAGCGAGAAGGAAUUUUCAAAGUUCUGAACAAGAAAAGUCUUUUCUUUCUUUUCAACGGUUUGUUCACAAUCACACACCCACACACACAUAUCAACGAAUUUAUUACAUUCCAAUCCGACAAGACGCUUUCAACACACGUGAAGCAGCUUCUCUUGUAUACUAAAAUGAGAAUUCGGCCAAAAAAAACCUCAACUUUGCACGAAUUGCCAAAAAAAACAUAAACUUUUGUACUCACCAAAAAAACACCAAAUUUUCAUUUACUUUAGAAUUAAUUAACAGAAAUAUUUGACGUCGUUUAUUGUUGGCAUUAAGUGAAACGACGUCGUUUUACAUGAUUUGAAAUUAAAAAUAUGUUGACCCCUGGAUUCGAACCAAGGUUGGUUUGUCAAAUGGCAAGGUAUUUUACAACUGGGCUACUGGCACUUUCAAUGUACUUACUAACAUGUUUAUUUUUAUUUGAUACAUAUUAAAUAUAAAAAAUUCUCUAAAAACUUAAUAAGAUCUUUAAAAUUCCAAAAAAAAUUUAAUUUUUAUAAAAAAAAAUUUUAUUUUAAAAUUUCUUAUUAAAAAUUUCUUAUUAAAAAUUUCUUUAUUUUUAUAAAAAAUUUCUUUAUUUUAAAAUUUUAUUUUUAAUUUUAAUUUCUAAAUUAAUUUUAUAAAAAUAUUAUUUAUUUUUUUAUUUUUUUUGGAAUUUUAAAGAUCUUAUUAAGUUUUUAGAGAAUUUUUUUAUAUUUAAUAUGUUCCAAAUAAAAGUAAACAUGUUAGCAAGUACAUUGAAAGUGCCAGUAGCCCAGUGGUAAAAUACCUUGUCAUUUGAUCAACCAACCUGGGUUCGAAUCCAGGGUUCGUUUCACUUAACGCAAACAAUAAACGACGUCAAAUAUUUCUAUUAAAUUUGUUGACGGCGUGCUAAAUUGGCAAGUCAGCGAAAACAUUGUUAAUUAAUUCUAAAGUCAAUGAAAGUUUGGUGUUUUUUUGGUCAGCCCAAAAAUUUAUGUUUCUUUUGGUAAUUCGUGCAAAGUUGAGGUUUUUUUUUGCCGAAUUGUCAUACUAAAAUACAUUGUUCUCUAUUUGUUAUGCAAAUAACAUAAAUAACUUUUUAUUACAUAAAUGACUUUCACGGCAAGAAGAUUCCAGUUUUCAUUUUGUAGAGCAUGCCAAUACUUCAGAAGCGCUUGAACCCUCCCCAGAAUCCCAAAAAGAUUGAGAAAGCCGUGCUGCUGGAAUUUGUUGCAAGACAGGCAUAGGAGGCACUUCAAGAGCUUCAAGGCUUCCUUCCAUCAUCUCUACUACUAUGUUCAUCGGAGGGCGGUUUGAUGGGGAAGACUGUAUACACCACAAACCCACAAUUUUCAUCUUCUUUGCUAUCUCCUCUUCUUCGCUUCUGAUUCCAUACUCGGUAGGACUUCCAUUGUCUCCUUGCUCGAGAUUCUGGUAUAUCCAUUCGGGAAAAUACAUUGAGCUUGCAUUCGAUGCAGAGACUUGAUCAACUAUUUCUUUCUUCCUUGCGCCUAUCAUUUCGAGUAGUAGCAUCCCAUAGCUAUACACAUCUGACUUGUGAGACACACUCCCAUACACUGGGGAGAACAUCUCUGGCGCAAUGUACCCUAUUGUCCCUCUCAUAUCUAGCAGCGAUAUUAUGCUCUCUUUUUUCUCACAGAGUUUAGCAAGUCCAAAAUCAGAAACUUUGGGGAGAAGAUUUUCAUCUAACAGCACGUUCUGAGGUUUAAUGUCGAAAUGCACGAUCCUUGUUUUGCAGCCAAAGUGCAAAUACUCUAACCCCCGAGCAACUCCUAGUGCAAUAUCAUACAGUGCCGUGAAGUCCAAAUUCAUUAUGGUGGUGUCUGAGAUGAACUUAUCAAGCGAGCCGUUCUCUAGAAAUUCAUAUAUGAUUGCUCUUUUUGAACCUUCGGAGCAGAAUCCAAGUAAGGAAACAAUGUUGACAUGAGAUGUUUGGCUCAUGCUGGCAACUUCAUUGAUGAAGUCUUUGCCAUUAUUGUCCUUUGAAUCUUUCAAGACCUUCACCGCAACCAUACGGCCGUCACAAAGGGUUCCUCUAUAAACAACUCCAAAUCCUCCUCUCCCAACCACUUCUGCAAAUGACUUUGUAAUUUUCUUCACUUGCGCAUAAGUAUAGUGUUUGAGUGGAAUAAGAGCCUUUAACUUCUUUUGUCUCCUAUCAUCUGAUGUUUUUCUCUUGCGAAAAAUUUGGACCCCGAAACAGGGGCAUAAUAAUACCACCAGCGCAAUAAUACCUGUUAGUGAACACAAACCUAAAAUAACAUAGAAAACGUUUGGUUAGUAACUUUUUCAUAAUGUAGGAAGAUCAAAAACAGUUAUAAAUAUCUAUCUGGGAAGCGAACUAACCUACGAGAAUAAUGAUCACAAUAACUGCAGAACCAUAAAAUAAAAUUUGUCAGCAUAGAACAAGACUUUUGAAAUGAAAAGAGCAAUUGGAGAAAAACAAUGGUUUAGAGGGAGGAUAAAAAAAGUCAUUCGAUGAAAGUUAUGCACCUAUGCCCUCUAUAAGAUCAGCUCCUGCAUAAAUUAAAUGGCAUGCAAAAGAAAGUCAGUUUGAGCUGGAGAUAGAGCUCUGAACACAAACGAAAAAACAAAAACUUGAAACUAAAGGAAGGUUUGCAAAUGAUCUGAUCAAAAGGUGGGUGGGCGAUUGUGGAAGAGAAAAAGAGGUGGUUCUUGGUGAAGGACAUUAGGAAACAAGACCAUGGAUGAAAGAAAACUUACGGUUGUGUGUCGGGCAUGAACUAUUAUGCGGCCCAUCUUUGCAAUAACAGACGAAAGCGCUUGAGGUCUGAUUAUAUCCGCAAGCACCCUCAGAGACCAUGCACCUCUCACAAUCCGAGUUAACAUAGAGAUCGAAACCUUGUUCAAUAGCCUUCUUUAGAUUAUAUGUAUUCGGACUCCUCUGCAGCGUCUCCAAUGCAGAUCCAGAUGCAGGAAUACUGACAUUUCUUUUACACAUUUCCCUGAAAUUGUUUAAAAGACCUCUAAUCUCUUCAAGUAAAGGCGACGUGAGGUUUUUUGUCACAUAGUAAUUUCUUCUGUUAUUCCCAGAAACAAGCUCUCCAACAUAAAAACUAUGGGGGAUAAGUGGUGAGAAGUUUGGGCAGUCAUAAUAAAUUGUUACAAGCUCGGUGUUAUAGGGGAAGGAAACAACGUUUUCAUUGAACUGUGCAUUCAGUGGGUUUCUGGGAUAAAGAUUAUCAAUAUAAUCUGUUCUUAUGAGUGUCGUCUCAUAAUACCCACUAUCUAUGAUUCUGAACUUCACAGUGGAAAUGUUGAGCUCUGCAAAAUCUCCGCUACAGUUGAGCUCGAACUCUGGGUGGCCACAUGCUUUUCUACCAGGUUUCCAGAAAGGAUAACUGAGACGUACCUGAUCGCAACAGCUAAACGUCUUACUGCAGAGUCUGUAAAGCUCACCAGCUGAUAAAAAAUAAGAUGGGUUCAAAAACAGCAUCAAUAUGGAUUUUAUUUACGCCAAAAAUUUGGUUAUGAGACUGAGAUUGGUUGAUUAUUAGUUCCUUAUGUUAUCCUUUUUUUUUGUUUUUCUUCGUGGUCAGGAAAAUGAUUACGGAUUAGGUAAGCAUUUGCCUGAGAAAAUUGAUGCUAACUUACCACUUGAUACACCAGGAAGAUGGCUGAAAGAGGAGAAGAUGGCAAAUAAUAUCAAACAAAAACUAAAGGG